GUUCUAUGUCAAAUCAGGGCAGAUACCAUGGUUCAGAAUCUUCAACUCUGUUGUCAUCUUUCUCUUGUCAUAUGAAAACCCCCCACCACCACUUAACCUGGCUUAAUUGGAAAAUAUGUUCCCUGUAAAUUAUUUAUGUUGCAGGCAAUGGGAAAAAAAAUUCCCUUUGGGAAUAUAAAUUCAUCUCACAAAAUACAAAAUACCUUUUUUUUUUUUUUUUUGUAGUCACACAUCUCUCUUUUUGUAUGUUGUCUUUUGUCCAGGAAACAAAAUUACAAUUAAAUUAACACUUUUAAAUAAAUUUGUCUUUUAAAAACACACUGCCUUUUCAGAGGCCAUGGUGUCAAUUCUAUUUUAGUCAUUCUCAGAGGAUGGUUGUGGACUUUCAUUUAUUCCCCAAAUCAGCCGAUUUGGAAGUCCUGGUGUUCCAUGCAUACAUUGUGAUAAUUCAUUUAAAGUGUCUCUUAAAACUCUGAAUAUCUAAUUUUCCCUUUCUUCUUAAAGUUUGUAUUAUUUCAUGGAGGACUGGUCAGGAGAGUGAGGUGACUUUGUGCAGUUCCAUACGUCUCUGACAAAUGCAACACUUUACUGCCUGGCUUUCCUCAUGCUCUGGGCACAGAGCAUGUGAGCCUGAUGGUUCCUGUCUGGGAAGAGUGGCUAGAAAUGUUGAUAUCUCCCAUCUUUUGAUUUUAAUAGAUGAAAGUGCUUAAGUCAUCCUGAUUUGAAACUCUUUCAAGCAUGAUAAUCCAGCGUAUCUUUUAAAAUGUAUAUAUUUGGGAGGUUUUUGUUUUCAUGAAUUGCAAACUUUAGAGUUGCUGGAACUUGAGAAAUCUCCUAAGUGAUCUGUUUUGUUGGUUGGAUAAGAAAGCUGCAUCCUGUGGAUGCCAUCUGCUUGCAACUGCUUGUGUGGUUGUAGGCCAAGAGAGAUGCCCAUGUAUCUGUGUCAUCAGCUCCGGACCUGCCAUUCCGAGAAGCAGUUCUUAUCCACCACUGGCUGGGGCAGUGGUGACUUCUUUCUUCUCCUCUCUCUGUCAGCAGGCAGCUUGGGGUAGCAGCUAAGCUGAGACUCCUGAGUCAGACUCUUUAGACUUGAGCUCUAGUAUUGGUUUUGCAACCUGUAAGCUGAUGGCCCAGAGCAGUUUUGCUGUAAGACCCAGACUUCUGUGUGUAAAAUGGAAAUGGCUGUGACUGACCUUGGAGCCUUGUUAAAUGGAGCAGAUGAGGGGUGGCUUGUGAAGUGCUCAGCACAACGCCUGUAAGGGUCAUCAAAUUCUGCAACUAGCUUCAUGUUUAUCCUUCUAGAAACAGUGCCAUGGAAACUUCAGAGUUCUACCUUAGGACACAAUGCUAAUCUUUUGAAGUGAAAAUCUUGUUUUAAAAAACCCAGUUUUGUUUUUAACCUGUAUUUAAUUUGAAAGGGUUAUUUUCAGCAAAUAGUCUUCAAUUUUUAUUAAUUAUUAAAGCAUCAUUUCAAUGCUAAAGUUUCAAAGACUGUGCCUUAUCUUUGCUCUGUACCUCUAUGAAAAUAAAACUGCAAUAAUAAUAUUGCUUUCAAAGGAAAAUUAGAACUAAAUGCUGGCCCCUACUUGUUUUGUAAGAAUGUAUUUGAACACAGUAAGUCAUUCUUAAUAUUUAGAGCUAUUACCAUAUACACCAUUUAAUUUCUUGAAAAUCCAAGUGCUAUUCAUCUCCAGGUCAUUAUACCACUAAAAGUACACAACUUAGUAAAACUACAAUGUGAUAACUGUAGAAUUUGUACUGAAGUAUACGUGCAUUUCUUACCAGAUUUUUAAAAUGCAUACCACAUGCCAGAAAUUGGAACAAAUGCUGGCCCAGUGCAUCUCAAAUUUACUGUGUGUAUGGAUCACCUGGGAUAUUCUCAAACUGUGGAGUCUGACUCAGAUCUGAGGAAGGCUCUGAGAUUCUUCCUUUCCAUCCAGCUCCCAGGUGGUAUGGGUACCCCAGUUCUAUGGAUCAAACCCAGAAGUAAGGGUCUAUGGUGUCUGUAGCUGGUACACGGAGUGGACAAUAGAUGAUUACAAUAAUAACUGAUUAAACUUCAAGCAUGCCAUAUAGUAUUAUAACCAGAGUCCUCAGGCUUUGUAUUGAAUUCUCAAAACUUACUCAUCUUACAUCUGAAAGUUUGUGCCAUUUGGUCAACAUUCUCCCCAUCUCCUCCACCCUCCAGCCACUGGCAACCACCAUUCUACUCUAUGUGGUAUGAGUUCUACAGAUUUGCUUUUUAAUUUAGAGUCUAUAUAUAAGUAAUAUCAUAUAGUAUUUGCCUUUCUUUGACUUAUUUCUCUCAGCAUAAUGCCCUCCAGGCUCAUCUUUGUUGUCACAAAUGGUAGAAUUUCCUUCUUUUUGUGGCUGAGUAGUAUUCCAGUGUGUGUGUGUGUGUGUGUGUGUGUGUGUGUGUGUGUGUGUGUGUAUGAGAGAGAGAGACCUUUUCUUUAUCCAUCUAUGCAUAGGUAGGCACUUAGGUUGUUCCAUAUCUUGACUACUGUGAAUAAUGUUGCAACAAGCACAGGGAUGCAAAUAUGUCAGAUGCUGAUUUCAUUUCUUUUGGUCUUAUACUCCCAAAGUGGAAUUGUGGGAUCAUAUGCUGAUUCUAUUUUUAAUUUUUUGAGGAGCCUCCAUACAGUUUUCCAUUUGAAAGAGACUAGAUCUUAAGAGUUCUCACCACAGAAAAGAACCAUGUAACAUGAGGGAUAUGUUAAUUACCUUAAUUUGGUAAAUAUUAUAUUUCAUAAUACAUAUGUAAAUCAAAUCAUUUUGUUGUACAUGUUAAACCUAUGCAGUUUUAUCAAUUAUACCUCAGUAAAGUUGGGAAAUCAUUAUUGUUAAUAACAAUUUCUAUUUUUUCUGAAAAGUAAACAAUGUUUUCAUAGUUGUGUUUCAGAGUAUGGGAAUAUAAGCUCUUUGGUCUUUGUUGAAAAAUAAAAAUUUAUAAUAGGUUGCUGGUGAAAAAUGGGGCUGUUUCAGAAAGGUGGGGUUCAUCUUUGAGCUUCUAGUCUAGGUUUCCCAUCAUAAUUACUUGGAACCCCUCCUUGGAGAGUCUGAUUUAAUUAGCUGAACCUGUCUGGCUGGGGAGUUGACCGCUGGGAUGAGAGGUAGGGUCAGAAGAGAAAGAAAUACAGUAUUUCAGUGCCUUCCAAACAUUUUCAGCAGCAGUAGCCUCUUUCUAGGCUAUUGAUGGAUUCCAUUCAUGCAUGGAAAAUAAAAUAGUUUUGAAUUCUUUUGGAGAACACUGGAAUAAAAGAUUAAACUGAUUCCUUGGCCAAAAAUUUCUUAGUCUUUAAGCAUCCUGCUGGGUGGAAUGACUCAAAGGUCAGUUAUAGGAGGUGGCAGUUCACCAAACGCAUUUGACUAGGAAGCAUGUUUGGUGGGAAAUAGAUUAACACCUGAGUCUGUGGUUUAGAAAAGUCUCUGCUUCUUGAUGCAUCACGGAUACUGGCCUGACUGGAGCCCUGGAAAGAUUUACAUUCCAUUUUAUACCUCAAGCUGAUAGCGACUUGAUACCAACUUGCUGUUUCUUCAAUCUCUUUUAUCCAUCUGCAGAAUCUUCUCUUCUGUGUGCCAGCAGAGUCCUUAGUAGCCCAAUUCAGAUUGGUCAAAGAAUGUUGGCUUUGGAGUGAGAGAGAUGAUGGGUUAGAAAUAUGGUUUUCCUCUCUGUAGCUAGGUCAUUUGAAUUAGUUAUUCAAACUCCCAGAGUGUUUGUUUCCUGGCUGUAAAAUGAGGUUAAUUAUACUUAUCUUGAUGGUGAAGAUUGAAAUAUGGGACAGGAACCCAUCACUGAAUGUGGUGCAAAGAUACUCAGUAAACCAUAACCACCAUGAUUAUCAAGCUGUGUAUGAAAAAUGACAAAUCAGCAAUCGAGGUAGAGAGCAGUCAUAGUUUUAGGAAAGAGAAAUAAUUCCCCAGUGAGGUCAUCAAAGAAUAUUUUCCAGAAAAAUGGGAUUUGACAUAGGCUCUGAGAAUGGAAAGGGUCUAGACAGAAAAUGUGUGUGGGUAUUUUAGGCAGGGGAUGUGUGAAAUCAAAAUUACAGGUGUUGGCAAAGCACAGGAAAUGGUCGAUGAUAUGAGAAAAAGCAAUCCAUUGUUUCAAUAGAACAGUAAGAGAUAACUUAAAUACCUUAUGGCAAGCCCCAUUUUUUUCUUGAUAAAAUAUUUAUUGUAUUUCUAAUAUGUGCUGAAGUAAGAAAAACAGUGCUUCCAGAAAAUAAAGGCGAUUUUGGUAUGUUAGAUGGAUUGGGAAAAGAAGAAAGGAGAGCUAAUAAACCACUACAACAUUCUAUGAGCAGGGCACAUAGAAUUUCUAAGACCGAUUGAUCAGAGAGUAGAAAGAGAAAGAAAAAUAAUGGACUUACUGAGAGCCAGAAAAGUCUGCCCCUGGAAUUUGCAAAUGGCUGUGCAGAGAUCUUAGAACUUCCACUUUAAGCUGGGAACUUAUUUAAAAUUCUGUAAGUAACAAAUGCUGCUGAAAAGGAAACCUUCCUAUGUAAAUUGGUGCAGCCACUAUGGAAAAUAGUAUGGAGAUUCCUUUAAAAACUAAAAAUAGUGUUGCCACGUGAUCCAUUCCUUAGUAUACAUUCAGAGAAAAUUAUAAUUAGAAAAGAUAAAGCACCCCAAUUUCACAGCAGCACCAUGUACAAUAGCUAAGACAUGGAAGCAACCCAUAUGCCCAUUGACAGAUGAAUGUAUAAAGACGAUACGGUGUGUGUGUGUGUGUAUACACAUAUAAACCUAUACCAUAUCUAUAUACACAUAUGUAAUAAUGCCAUUUGCAGUAAUAUGGAUGGACGUAGAGAUUAUCAUACUAAGUGAAGUAAGUCAGAGAAAGACAAAUACCAUAUGAUAUCACUUAUAUGUGACAUCUAAACAAGGAUACAAAAUGAACCUACAAAAUAGAAAUAGCCUCACAGACAUAGAAAACAAACUUAUGGUUACCAAAGGGGAAAGGCGGUGGGGGAGGAAUAAAUUAGGAGUUUGGAAUUAGCAGAUGCAAACUACUAUAUAGAAAAUAGAUAAAUAACAAAAUCCUACUGUAUAGCACAAGGAACUAUAUUUAAUAUCCUAUAAUUAACUAUAAUGGAGAAGAAUGUGAAAAAUUACUGAAUCACUUUGUUAUACCCCUGAAACUAAUACAACAUUGUAAGUCAACUAUAUUUCAGUAAAAAAUCCAAGUGUCCAGGGCUCAGAGCUGGACUGUUUGGGUUCAGUGAUCUCCAUUUUAAUCAGUACUCUAGAAGAGUUUUGAGGAAUUCAGCUUUCAGCCAUAUGGGGAUGACUUAUAAGGAAACCCUGUGCUCAGCUAGAGCAGGGAAGAUCCCAGAGGCCUUUGCAACUCACCCCUUCCUCUCACGGUCUCAGAGAACAGGGUGGGUUAGGAUGGAUCUGCUCUUGGAAGACCUUCUCAGGUAACUGAUCCUCCUUUUUUCUGCAGGUAGCUCCCAGCUGUGUGAUCUGGAUUUUAGAGGGGACUCUUGGUGAAAAGGAAUAGGAAACUAACCUGAAAUUCAAGAAACAGCAAAGGGCCAGGAGGAACAUCUGACUUAUAAAGAGGGGAAUUUUUAGGGUAAAGUUAGUAAUAAAAAAAAAAUCUAGUAUACAUGGUUUAAGAUGUUCAGAGGAAGAAAGUAUAGUG
This 5647-nucleotide long non-coding RNA is filed under the name Sus scrofa (pig). Its description in RNAcentral is "lncRNA (ENSSSCG00000063055.1)". Lineage: Eukaryota; Metazoa; Chordata; Mammalia; Artiodactyla; Suidae. The record is from RNAcentral.